Molecule: non-coding RNA, 252 nt
Filed under: Enterococcus rivorum
Lineage: Bacteria; Bacillati; Bacillota; Bacilli; Lactobacillales; Enterococcaceae
Description: T-box sequence
Rfam family: T-box leader
About the family: Uncharged tRNA acts as the effector for transcription antitermination of genes in the T-box leader family. T-boxes are found upstream of many aminoacyl-tRNA synthetase genes and some amino acid biosynthetic genes usually in Gram-positive bacteria.
Source: RNAcentral
UCAAACUCAAUGAAAAGAAGAGUACAUAAUUAGACAUUUUGCUGAAAAACUUAACUUCAGAAGUAAGAGAGCUUUCGUUUGGUGGAAGAAAGUAAUGGCUAAUUUUGGAAGAUGGUCUUGGAGAGGAAAUGGCACAAAAGUGUCCUUUACGGCAGCUACCGUUAUUAAAGCGCCAAAUUGCAAGAAGACUUAAGAUUUGGAUUAAGAUGGAUUUUCCUAAAAAAAGGUGGUACCGCGAUAAUCGCCCUUUAC